RNAcentral lists this ribosomal RNA (1232 nucleotides) under uncultured organism. Its description in RNAcentral is "bacterial SSU rRNA". It matches the Rfam family "Bacterial small subunit ribosomal RNA", at positions 153 to 1359 of the family's 1533-position model. The record is from RNAcentral.
GAAAGUGCUGCUAAUACCGGAUAAAGUCAGCGGGCCGCAUGGCUCGUCGACCAAAGGUGGGGACCUUCGGGCCUGCCGGUCUUGGAGCGGUUCAUGUCCUAUCAGCUUGUUGGUGAGGUAACGGCUCACCAAGGCUGCGACGGGUAGCGGGACUGAGAGGUUGGCCCGCCACAUCGGGACUGAGACACUGCCCGGACACCUACGGGUGGCUGCAGUAACGAAUAUUGGGCAAUGGGCGCAAGCCUGACCCAGCAAUGCCGCGUGCAGGAGGAAGCCCUUCGGGGUGUAAACUGCUGUCAGGGGCUAGCAAGCAACGGGUGUGAAUAGCACCCCGCGCUGAGCCGCCCCAGAGGAAGCCUCGACUAACUCUGUGCCAGCAGUCGCGGUAAGACAGAGGAGGCUAGCGUUGUUCGGAAUCAUUGGGCUUAAAGCGGGUGUAGGCGGCUUGUCAAGUGUCUUGUGAAAGCCCACGGCUCAACCGUGGAAUUGCAGGGCAAACUGGCAGGCUUGAGGUCGGUAGGGGUGUCUGGAACUCUAGGUGGAGCGGUGAAAUGCGUAGAUAUCUAGAGGAACGCCAGAGGCGAAAGCGGGGCACUGGGCCGAUUCUGACGCUGAGACCCGAAAGCGUGGGGAGCAAACAGGAUUAGAUACCCUGGUAGUCCACGCCGUAAACGAUGCACACUAGACGUCGGAGGUUCUGACACCAUCGGCGUUGGAGCAAAAGUAUUAAGUGUGCCGCCUGGGGAGUACGGCCGCAAGGCUAAAACUCAAAGGAAUUGACGGGGGCUCACACAAGCGGUGGAGCAUGUGGCUUAAUUCGAAGCAACGCGAAGAACCUUACCCAGGUUUGACAUGCUAGGAUGCAAACGGGUAAUGCCGGGCGCUGCCCUUCGGGGUGAACUAGCACAGGUGUUGCAUGGCUGUCGUCAGCUCGUGCUGUGAAGUGUCGGGUUAAGUCCCUUAACGAGCGAAACCCUUGUCGCUAGUUGCCAGCGGGUCAUGCCGGGGACUCUAGCGAGACUGCCGGCGUUAAGCCGGAGGAAGGUGGGGAUGACGUCAAGUCAUCAUGGCCUUUAUGCCUGGGGAUGCACACGUGCUACAAUGGCCGGGACAGAGCGAAGCAAUACCGCGAGGUGGAGCAAAUCGCAAAACACCGGCCCCAGUUCGGAUUGGAGUCUGCAAUUCGACUCCAUGAAGUUGGAAUCGCUAGUAAUCGCGUAUCAGCUAUGACG